CCCUUAGAUGUCCUGGGCCGCACGCGCGCUACACUGAGUGUCUGAGAUAUGAGGCAUGCCUGGUCCGGCAAGGUCUAGGUAAUCACGAAAAGGCACAUCAUGCUUGGGAUUGAUUAUUGCAAUUAUUAGUCUUGAACGAGGAAUUCCUAGUAAGCACAAGUCAUCAGCUUGUGUUGAUUACGUCCCUGCCCUUUGUACACACCGCCCGUCGCUCCUACCGAUUGAAUGUUCCGGUGAGCUCUUCGGACUGCGCGGUCUGCAGUUUCUGCGUUCCGUGCGGAAAGUUGCGCAAACCUUAACAUUUAGAGGAAGGAGAAGUCGUAACA
Molecule: ribosomal RNA, 326 nt
Filed under: uncultured eukaryote
Lineage: Eukaryota
Description: partial 18S ribosomal RNA
Rfam family: Eukaryotic small subunit ribosomal RNA
Source: RNAcentral